RNAcentral lists this ribosomal RNA (490 nucleotides) under uncultured bacterium. RNAcentral's name for it is "partial 16S ribosomal RNA". It matches the Rfam family "Bacterial small subunit ribosomal RNA", at positions 30 to 507 of the family's 1533-position model. The record is from RNAcentral.
AUUGAACGCUGGCGGCAGGCCUAACACAUGCAAGUCGAACGGUAACAGGAAGAAGCUUGCUUCUUUGCUGACGAGUGGCGGCCGGGUGAGUAAUGUCUGGGAAACUGCCUGAUGGAGGGGGAUAACUACUGGAAACGGUAGCUAAUACCGCAUAACGUCGCAAGCCCAAAGAGGGGGACCUUCGGGCCUCUUGCCAUCGGAUGUGCCCAGAUGGGAUUAGCUAGUAGGUGGGGUAACGGCUCACCUAGGCGACGAUCCCUAGCUGGUCUGAGAGGAUGACCAGCCACACUGGAACUGAGACACGGUCCAGACUCCUACGGGAGGCAGCAGUGGGGAAUAUUGCACAAUGGGCGCAAGCCUGAUGCAGCCAUGCCGCGUGUAUGAAGAAGGCCUUCGGGUUGUAAAGUACUUUCAGCGGGGAGGAAGGGAGUAAAGUUAAUACCUUGGCUCAUUGACGUUACCCGCAGAAGAAGCACCGGCUAACUCCGUG